AAUAAGAUGGCUGAGUAGAUAGGCGGUAAAUUGUAAAUUUAUUAACAAGUAAAACUUUCUUAUUA
RNAcentral lists this transfer RNA (65 nucleotides) under Leptodius exaratus. Its description in RNAcentral is "tRNA-Tyr". It matches the Rfam family "tRNA". Rfam says of the family: Transfer RNA (tRNA) molecules are approximately 80 nucleotides in length. Their secondary structure includes four short double-helical elements and three loops (D, anti-codon, and T loops). Further hydrogen bonds mediate the characteristic L-shaped molecular structure. tRNAs have two regions of fundamental functional importance: the anti-codon, which is responsible for specific mRNA codon recognition, and the 3' end, to which the tRNAs corresponding amino acid is attached (by aminoacyl-tRNA synthetases). tRNAs cope with the degeneracy of the genetic code in two manners: having more than one tRNA (with a specific anti-codon) for a particular amino acid; and 'wobble' base-pairing, i.e. permitting non-standard base-pairing at the 3rd anti-codon position. The record is from RNAcentral. Lineage: Eukaryota; Metazoa; Arthropoda; Malacostraca; Decapoda; Xanthidae.